Molecule: small RNA, 29 nt
Filed under: Bombyx mori (domestic silkworm)
Lineage: Eukaryota; Metazoa; Arthropoda; Insecta; Lepidoptera; Bombycidae
Description: ovarian small RNA-14127
Source: RNAcentral
CGAAGAGAUUGAAGUGGCCACUCAAAAUU